RNAcentral lists this unclassified non-coding RNA (345 nucleotides) under soil metagenome. RNAcentral describes it as "partial contains 5.8S ribosomal RNA, internal transcribed spacer 2, and large subunit ribosomal RNA". The stretch from base 1 to 120 matches the Rfam family "5.8S ribosomal RNA", at positions 35 to 154 of the family's 154-position model. The record is from RNAcentral.
GAUGAAGAACGUAGCGAAAUGCGAUACGUAAUGUGAAUUGCAGAAUUCAGUGAAUCAUCGAGUCUUUGAACGCACAUUGCGCCCCCUGGUAUUCCGGGGGGCAUGCGUGUCCGAGCGUCAUUGCUGCCCUCAAGCACGGCUUGUGUGUUGGGCCUCCGUCCUCCUCCCGGGGGACGGGCCCGAAAGGCAGCGGCGGCACCGCGUCCGGUCCUCGAGCGUAUGGGGCUUCGUCACCCGCUCUUGUAGGCCCGGCCGGCGCUUGCCGACACAUCAAUCUUUUUUCCAGGUUGACCUCGGAUCAGGUAGGGAUACCCGCUGAACUUAAGCAUAUCAAUAAGCGGAGGA